This 63-nucleotide transfer RNA is filed under the name Dipodomys ordii (Ord's kangaroo rat). It matches the Rfam family "tRNA", at positions 1 to 62 of the family's 71-position model. From Rfam's summary of the family: Transfer RNA (tRNA) molecules are approximately 80 nucleotides in length. Their secondary structure includes four short double-helical elements and three loops (D, anti-codon, and T loops). Lineage: Eukaryota; Metazoa; Chordata; Mammalia; Rodentia; Heteromyidae. The record is from Rfam by way of RNAcentral.
GGGGAUUUAGCUCAGUGGUAGAGCACUUGUCUGGCAAACACAAGGCCCUGAGUUCAGUCUUCA